RNAcentral lists this long non-coding RNA (1180 nucleotides) under Malus domestica (apple). Its description in RNAcentral is "long non-coding RNA (MDOM_LNC007630)". The record is from RNAcentral. Lineage: Eukaryota; Viridiplantae; Streptophyta; Magnoliopsida; Rosales; Rosaceae.
AAUUGGAUAAUGCAAGCAUGGAGACAUGAGGAUGGACAUUUUUGAAGAUUUGAAGGCUAGAAAUUAACAUGUUUGUGUGCAAGUGUGUUGAUCCACUCAUUACCAAACAUCCAUCCACUACACCCAUUACAUCCACUGAUUACUAAACACUCACACUCAUCCACUACACCCAUUACAUCCACUCAUUACCACAACCCACUCAUUACCAAACAUCCAUCCACUACACCCAUUACAUCCACUCAUUACCAAACACUCAUCCACUACACCCAUUACAUCCACUCAUUACCAUAACACUCACUCACUACACCCAUUACAUCCACUCAUUACCACAACAUACACCACUACCACCUUAAUUAGAUGGUGGUCCUCUCCCUAGCCUAUAAAUACAUCCACCCUUCUCCAUAACAAAAAGGGGGGAAAAAGAUCCAUCAAAAGACACUACAUUCACAUCUCACAACUCCAUACACUUACACUUUCAUUCCUUGGCCGAGAGAACACUAUCCACCCAUCCACCCUUCACCAUAACUCACCUAUAUCCAUCCACCGCCAUAAUUUACCACUCAUCCAUAAAACCACACCUUGUGCCUCAACAAAGAGAAAAAUGAGGACCCUUGGACGUGCUUGCCAUUCAAGUUGGAUUGUUGGAGCGUUUUUAGGUGUUUUCAUUCUUUGUUUUCAAUAUCUAAAUUUGUUUAUCUUUACUUUAUGAGUAUGAGGAGCUAAACCCCCCUUAGCUAGGGGGGAAUUCGAAACCAUGUUCAUGCUUGCAAUAUGAUUUGAUUACCUUAAGUUAUGAUUUCAUAAGUUGUGAAUUCAAUUUGUUUAACUGCUUGAUUGAUAACUUAUUCAUGUAUGUUUAUUAAGAGUGCACACUUAGUUUGCAUGCAUGAAUAUGAUGCUAGAGUAUAAGGAAGUUUCACCUAAUAGUUACAAACUUAUAUUCACAAGUAGUGGAGGUUGCUUAUAAACGAUCGCGUUAAAUGAAUUCUUAGCAGAAGUUUCAUGCUCAUCAUAGUAACGAAUGCCUCGUCAAUACUUAUAGUUUUCAUAAUGCUUAAUGAUCUUUGAUUGUAUCUUUAUUGUGCUGUUCACGUAAAGGACUUUUAAAGAAUGCUUGAAUUGUUGUAUGCGCUUUCCCAUCCAAUUCAAUAACUUAAGGAGAACUUGAAGGUUAAUUUAA